GUAUUUAAUAAAGUAGACUAUGAUUCGACUAUCAGUAAACACACAAUAAUACUAAGUAAAAGACCAUGGAAAUCUCCGAAAAACAGGAUUUUAUUAAAGUAAUAAUUCUAAGUUUAACCGUAACAUUAUGGUUUUACUGGCUGUGGACGAGAAAAAAUGUGUACCAAUUCUCAUCACGCUUCUCAGGACUAUUUGGGUGGCCGCUUUUCGGGAUAUUACAUCGCAUUAAAAGCCAACAUAAUGUUAUUCAAGAGUUAGGUAAAAUAUUCAAAGAUUGUAAGGCAUACACAAUUUGUACUUGGAUAGGCACAUAUCCAAUUAUUAUAACAGCAGAUCCCCCAUUCAUAAAAGAUGUACUAUCUUCAAAAGAGUUGCUCAAUAAGGCCCAGCCAUUAUACCAGCCACUCUAUGACGCAUUCAAAGGUGGUCUUAUUGCAAGUCCAGUGGAUCAAUGGCAUAAAAAUCGUCGUAUGAUAAAUCCAAGCUUUCAUCAGAGAGUACUGACCUCAUUUUUGCCCGUAUUUAAUAAGGCAAAAGAUGGAGCUAUUCAAAAAUUCAGUGAAUUGACAAGAAAUGAACCUGUCCUUAUUAGCGAACAGUUGCAAAGGAUCACUUUAAGUAUAACUGUUGAAACCACUAUGGGGAAAGAGAUGCAAAAAGGCGAUCAGGUGUCAGAGCAAUUAGUGAAAUCAUAUGUCAUUGUAAUAAAAAACUUUAGAAGCAUGGAAAAAGUACCAAUUGAAUGUCUCUUAGCAUAUGUGAAGCUGGAUCACUUGUACGCCUGGUUUACGAAAGCAUCGAAGGAGUUUGUGUACAAGUUUAUUGAAGGGCUUUUAUAUGGAAAACUCUUACAAGUGCCAACUACGGAAAAUAUCCGACUUGAUGUCAAUAUAUCCACAGAUAAUAAUGUAAACAAGAAUUAUUCAUAUGGAAAUCAAGCAUUUAAUGAGAAGGUACCAAGUAUUUUUAUUGACCAGGCUAUAAAUUUAUAUCGAGAAGGAAAAAUGUCGUAUCAUGAUCUCAUUGGCGAAACGAACACAAUCGUAUCUGCGGCUUUUGAGACGUCCGCCAAUGCACUAUUGUCAGCACUUUUGAUGUUAGCCAUGCAUCCUGCUGUACAGGAAAGAUUAUUCGAGGAAAUUAUAAACUUGUUCCCUGAUAAACAUUUUUACGUGGAAUGUGAAAAUAUUACAAAUCUGCCAUAUUUAGAUAUGGUUGUCAAUGAGACUUUACGCCUAAUGCCUUCUAUACCCAUGAUUGGCCGUCAGGUCGUACAAGAUACAACACUGAGUAGCGGUUUGGUGAUUCCGAAAGGAAUUGAAAUUUUAAUUUCAAUUUUCGAUUUGCAUCGAAGAACUGAUAUUUGGGGUGCAAAUGCUGAUAAGUUUAACCCAGAGAAUUUUAUGCGAGAGAAUCUGCAAGAAAAGCAUUCGUAUGCAUACAUACCAUUUUCGAAGGGAAUACGAGAUUGUAUAGGAUGGAAAUAUGCUCUUAUGGCAAUUAAAAUACUAUUGGCAGGCUUCAUCCGGAACUUUUCUUUUGAAACCAAUGUAAAAUUGGAAGAUUUGAAGUUUACGAAUAAUGUAACACUUAAAUACACCAAUGAGCCAGCAUUUACAAUAAAAAACCGGUAUAAAUAAGGCACUUGGUGACAAUGUAAAUAAAAUAAGUUAUACCAAUACCAGGAUAUGAGAGCGUCCUUCGAGAAAACAACAUUUGACUCAUAUUUACCACUAAAUAAAGUGGCAAUUAUGGUAGAUAACUAUAGAAUUCACUUCCCAAUUCAUGGAUUUUCAGUUCACAAGCUGAUCCCUUGCACUUUCCGUGUUCAGCAACAGGAAAUUAAAUACUCGUAAAAAAGGAUUCUGACAAAGAUUCAAUAUCAAAUGAUUUAGUGGAAAUGCUUAGACCAACAAAGGCUUGGGUAAAAAAGUUAACAGCUUUAGUUACAGGCAUUUCAGCAUUUAAUUGCGUUGUUUCAAAGCUUUGCACCCACUUCCAAAUAAGUUUUUUAUUUAUUAUUUUAUUUUUCACACUCAAUAUUAUGGAUCAUUUCUCAACGAAUUUGUUUUAAAAUUGUACAAUAUUUGAAAUUUUUGAGUGUAUUUACACUAUAUAUCGGUUUCCUAUAUAUAUUUGUCAAUUUAAGAAGUUAAAUUAGAGG
This is a non-coding RNA of Bactrocera oleae (olive fruit fly), 2164 nucleotides long. The record is from RefSeq and is a predicted model, not a curated record. Lineage: Eukaryota; Metazoa; Arthropoda; Insecta; Diptera; Tephritidae.